This 676-nucleotide small RNA is filed under the name Pongo abelii (Sumatran orangutan). RNAcentral describes it as "retained intron". The record is from RNAcentral. Lineage: Eukaryota; Metazoa; Chordata; Mammalia; Primates; Hominidae.
AGAGGUGUGGGUACUGGGGUUCACUCCUUGCAGUUGAGUCAGAUGCUUCCAAAUGGGAUCCCACCUUUUGCCCAUCCCAUUCACCAGUGUAGUCUGAGGAUGAAGUCCCUUCCAAACCCAGGAGGUUCCAGCUGCUUGGGUGGGGGCACUUAGGGCAGGAAGACCUGGCUUGGUUUCCUCUUCCUUCUGCUUACUUCCACCCUCAUCACUGUCAUCUCUUCCCCUGGGGAAGCUGAAGUCUGAGCUGGACAUGCUGGUUGGCAAGUGCCGGGAGGAACCCUUGGAAGGUGAUAUGUCCAGCCCCAACUCCACAGGCAUACAGGAUCCCCUGUUGGGGAUGCUGGAUGGGCGGGAGGACCUUGAGAGAGAGGAGAAGCGUGAGCCUGAAUCUGUGUAUGAAACUGACUGCCGUUGGGAUGGCUGCAGCCAGGAAUUUGACUCCCAAGAGCAGCUGGUGCACGUGAGCCCCAGGGGGUAACAGGAAUGGCUAGCCGGAACCUUUAGGAGAUUCUGAGUGGGACAUGGUGGAAUCUGGCUGAGGGCAGGAGGUCAGAGGAGACUGAGGUUGAAUGCUCACUUGGGUAGGCAGAAGCUCAGAAGUUGUAGCUUUGCCUUAGGGAGCUGGAAGACCUGAGAUGUGAGAUAUGAUAUUGUUCCUGCCUCUUCCUCCUUGAGG